Molecule: ribosomal RNA, 419 nt
Filed under: uncultured bacterium
Lineage: Bacteria
Description: bacterial SSU rRNA
Rfam family: Bacterial small subunit ribosomal RNA
Source: RNAcentral
GGAAUAUUGGACAAUGGCCGAGAGGCUGAUCCAGCCAUGCCGCGUGCGGGAGGACGGCCCUAUGGGUUGUAAACCGCUUUUGUUGGGGAGCAAUAAGGGUCACGUGUGACCUGAUGAGAGUACCCAGCGAAUAAGCAUCGGCUAACUCCGUGCCAGCAGCCGCGGUAAUACGGAGGAUGCGAGCGUUAUCCGGAUUUAUUGGGUUUAAAGGGUGCGUAGGCGGAUGAUUAAGCGUGAGGUGAAAUGCUGCGGCUCAACCGCAGAACUGCCUCGCGAACUGGGUGCCUUGAAUGUCCGUGCCGUGGGAGGAAUGUGUGGUGUAGCGGUGAAAUGCAUAGAGAUCACACAGAACACCGAUUGCGAAGGCAUCUCACGAACGGAUGAUUGACGCUGAGGCACGAAAGCGUGGGGAUCAAACA